AAUGGAGGCACAAUUAAGGGGGAAUCAAUUAAUGGGGAAUCAAUCAGUGGGGGCACAAUUAAUGGGGAAUCAAUUAAUGGGCAAUCAAUUAAUGGGGGCCAAACAAUGGGGAACCUAUCAGCCAAUGGGGGCACAAUUAACGGGGAAUCAAUUAACGGGGAAUCGAUUAAUGGGGAAUCAAUCAAUCAAUGGGGUCGCAAUCAAUCAAUGGGGUCACAGCCAAUCAAUGGGGCCGCAAUCAAUGGGGAAUCAAUCAAUGGGGCCACAACCAAUCAAUGGGGUCGCAGUCAAUCAAUGGGGUCACAGUCAACCAAUGGGGCCACAGUCAAUCAAUGGGGCCGCAAUCAAUGGGGCCGCAAUCAAUGGGGUCACAACCAAUCAAUGGGGUCACAAUCAAUGGGGACGCAAUCAAUGGGGAAUCAAUCAAUGGGGUCGCAAUCAAUGGGGAAUCAAUCAAUGGGGUCGCAAUCAAUCAAUGGGGUCGCAAUCAAUGGGGCCACAACCAAUCAAUGGGGCCGCAAUCAAUGGGGUCGCAGUCAAUGGGGCCACAACCAAUCAAUGGGGUCACAGUCAACCAAUGGGGCCGCAACCAUCAAUGGGGCCACAACCAAUCAAUGGGGUCGCAAUCAAUGGGGCCGCAAUCAAUGGGGUCACAACCAAUCAAUGGGGUCACAAUCAAUGGGGUCGCAAUCAAUGGGGUCGCAAUCAAUGGGGCCGCAAUCAAUGGGGUCACAACCAAUCAAUGGGGCCACAAUCAAUGGGGCCACAAUCAAUGGGGCCGCAAUCAAUGGGGUCGCAACCAAUCAAUGGGGCCGCAACCAAUCAAUGGGGCCACAAUCAAUGGGGAAUCAA
Molecule: long non-coding RNA, 852 nt
Filed under: Phasianus colchicus (ring-necked pheasant)
Lineage: Eukaryota; Metazoa; Chordata; Aves; Galliformes; Phasianidae
Description: lncRNA (ENSPCLG00000020304.1)
Source: RNAcentral